GGGGCUGUAGCUCACUCAGUAGCAGAGUGCUUGCCUAGCAUGCAGGAGGCACUGGGUUCGAUCCUCAGCAGCACAU
Molecule: transfer RNA, 76 nt
Filed under: Marmota monax (woodchuck)
Lineage: Eukaryota; Metazoa; Chordata; Mammalia; Rodentia; Sciuridae
Rfam family: tRNA
About the family: Transfer RNA (tRNA) molecules are approximately 80 nucleotides in length. Their secondary structure includes four short double-helical elements and three loops (D, anti-codon, and T loops). Further hydrogen bonds mediate the characteristic L-shaped molecular structure. tRNAs have two regions of fundamental functional importance: the anti-codon, which is responsible for specific mRNA codon recognition, and the 3' end, to which the tRNAs corresponding amino acid is attached (by aminoacyl-tRNA synthetases). tRNAs cope with the degeneracy of the genetic code in two manners: having more than one tRNA (with a specific anti-codon) for a particular amino acid; and 'wobble' base-pairing, i.e. permitting non-standard base-pairing at the 3rd anti-codon position.
Source: Rfam by way of RNAcentral